UACGAAGGUGGCAAGCGUUGUUCGGAUUUACUGGCGUACAGGGAGCGUAGGCGGUUGGAUAAGCCCUCCGUGAAAUCUCCAGGCUUAACCUGGAAAGUGCAGAGGGACUGUUCAGCUAGAGGAUGGGAGAGGAGCGCGGAAUUCCCGUGUAGCGGUGAAAUGCGUAGAGAUCGGGAGGAAGGCCGGUGGCGAAGGGCGGCGACUC
RNAcentral lists this ribosomal RNA (205 nucleotides) under uncultured bacterium. RNAcentral describes it as "partial 16S ribosomal RNA". It matches the Rfam family "Bacterial small subunit ribosomal RNA", at positions 524 to 730 of the family's 1533-position model. The record is from RNAcentral.